Molecule: long non-coding RNA, 554 nt
Organism: Pieris brassicae (large cabbage white)
Lineage: Eukaryota; Metazoa; Arthropoda; Insecta; Lepidoptera; Pieridae
Exons: 4
Source: RefSeq, a predicted model, not a curated record
UAAAUUUAAGAACUAUCUACUAUGGUAGAUCUCAAUGUCUUCUGAAUUUGAGAACAAUGAUCUUUGUUACUAAUAUAAAAAUCACUGCCAAAUAAAUACACGUUACGAAAAGAAAUCUAUUUUUAGGAAUGUUUUGGUGCGUUUGUCAUUUCAUUUAAUGGUAUAUGCCAUAUUUAUUUAAUCUAGAGACUCUUUAAAAUUACUUUGGCUAAUGAGUGAAAUAUCUAUCUAUAAUAUAUAUAAAAAAAAUUUGAUGUAUCAUCUUUGGAAGUGGGGUUUAUACAGGUGUAUAUGUAGCACAAACUUACCAGGAUUUUCUUUCUCUAUUUUGUAAGAGAACAGCACAAGAAUGUGAGAGAGCUCUGGAAAGAAAGAAAUGAUAGAAAGGGUGGAGUCCCCGCAGGUUUUAUUUGAGAAAGCUCAGGCUUUUAUUAAAGCAAAAAUUGAUGAGUUCAAUGGCAAAAAAGACUAACGCAGUGUAGGCUUGAAUUAAAUUGUAAAUACGUGGGUUGUAGCAUGAUUUUAUUUUAUAAUAAAUAAUACAUGAACUUGUA